AGGAAUAUAACUCAGCGGUAGAGUGUCAGUUUAACGUUGUGGAAGUCAUCAGCUCGAGCCUAAUUAUUUCUA
Molecule: transfer RNA, 72 nt
Filed under: Solanum lycopersicum (tomato)
Lineage: Eukaryota; Viridiplantae; Streptophyta; Magnoliopsida; Solanales; Solanaceae
Rfam family: tRNA
About the family: Transfer RNA (tRNA) molecules are approximately 80 nucleotides in length. Their secondary structure includes four short double-helical elements and three loops (D, anti-codon, and T loops).
Source: Rfam by way of RNAcentral